UACAUGAGAAAAAUCUACAUUUUUUGAUAGAAAAGAUGCCCCAUCCCUAAAUUUCAGCUGACAGAAUUCCCAAAAGAUUCUUUCACACCCCUCUGAUUUUUCUCACAAAGUCACACUCUUAUAUUCUAUAUAAAGGGCCAUAUAUCACUCACAUAGACAGACAUACAUACAGAUUACACACACCGAAAACCUCUCUCUGAAAUUCAGCUUCUUUUCUCUCACCUUUAGACUGAUUUGGAGGCAAAAUUUUACCUUAGAAAUUUUCUUUUACAAGUUUCAGUUUCUUUCAUAUACUGAUUGAAAAAAAUGGUUUCAUAUGUUUGGUUUCUUUUCUGGAUCAACCUUGGUUUUCUGAAGCUGAUUUAGAAUUGAGGUCAAGUUUCAUUCUGGGAUUUCCUUAUUGAUCUUCUGUUAUCUUGCUGUUGUUUUCUUUGAGUUUGCUGAGCUUAUUCUUCAGUUUUCAGCCCUUUUGGCUUUUGUUGAUUGUCUUUCACAAAUAGGCUAUGUUGACUCGUUGGGUUCAAAGUCAUUAUUAAUUCGAGUGUCAAUAUGAGCUUAAGAAGUUCAGAGGCGUUGGUGUGAUGCUUUUACUUUUACACAACCUGAAAUGAGGAGUUUUACUUUGUUGAUCCUACUGUGCUCCUAAAUCAUUUCAAUUACAUGUUAUCUUUUAGUUUAGUCAUGAUUCAAGUCUAAUGUCAUAGAUAGGUCAUUGAUCUAGUUUAAAGGUUAUUUCAUGCUCAAAACAUCUCCAUGUUUGAUUGAUUGUUCCCUGUAUAAUGACUUAUUUCCUGAAAUAGGUGGUUCGUAUUUGAAAUGGUGUUUGCGGGGCUGAUUAGUGAAAUCAGUUUGUGUUGAUCUCUAUGAUUUUUUAAAUGGAAUUGUUCUUUAAUUAAACUCAGGAAUUACUCAACAGUUAGACUAUUCUUUUUUGCAUUUGUGUUUUUAGCUACUGCUGGUGGCCAAGUGAUUUAUGAGAGUAGCCUAGUGGAUAUCUCAGUAAAUCAAGAUCAAUAAGGGAAUUGAAAAGUCACUAGCCUAAAUCAUUUUUUUCUUUCUGGAUAUUAUUUGAAGAAGGUUGUUAGGAGUAGUGAUGUACAAAUCUGCUUCCUUAUUUAUAAAAGGAAUGGAACUUGUUGGGUUGUAGUUAGUUAAUGACUUGUAAUGAUUUAAUUUUUAUACCUCUUUUGUAUUGAUAAGUUAAUUCAAUAGUUGAUCAUAUUGUAUUAUUCUAAACCUGUUGUAGUUAAAUACAUGCAUAUUUGAUUCUAUA
Molecule: non-coding RNA, 1273 nt
Organism: Nicotiana tabacum (common tobacco)
Lineage: Eukaryota; Viridiplantae; Streptophyta; Magnoliopsida; Solanales; Solanaceae
Source: RefSeq, a predicted model, not a curated record